CAUAGGUUAAUGAGGCGAACCGGGGGAACUGAAACAUCUAAGUACCCCGAGGAAAAGAAAUCAACCGAGAUUCCCCCAGUAGCGGCGAGCGAACGGGGAGGAGCCCAGAGCCUGAAUCAGUGUGUGUGUUAGUGGAAGCGUCUGGAAAGGCGCGCGAUACAGGGUGACAGCCCCGUACACAAAAAUGCACAUGCUGUGAGCUCGAUGAGUAGGGCGGGACACGUGGUAUCCUGUCUGAAUAUGGGGGGACCAUCCUCCAAGGCUAAAUACUCCUGACUGACCGAUAGUGAACCAGUACCGUGAGGGAAAGGCGAAAAGAACCCCGGCGAGGGGAGUGAAAAAGAACCUGAAACCGUGUACGUACAAGCAGUGGGAGCCUCUUAAUGGGGUGACUGCGUACCUUUUGUAUAAUGGGUCAGCGACUUAUAUUCUGUAGCAAGGUUAACCGAAUAGGGGAGCCGAAGGGAAACCGAGUCUUAACUGGGCGUUAAGUUGCAGGGUAUAGACCCGAAACCCGGUGAUCUAGCCAUGGGCAGGUUGAAGGUUGGGUAACACUAACUGGAGGACCGAACCGACUAAUGUUGAAAAAUUAGCGGAUGACUUGUGGCUGGGGGUGAAAGGCCAAUCAAACCGGGAGAUAGCUGGUUCUCCCCGAAAGCUAUUUAGGUAGCGCCUCGUGAAUUCAUCUCCGGGGGUAGAGCACUGUUUCGGCAAGGGGGUCAUCCCGACUUACCAACCCGAUGCAAACUGCGAAUACCGGAGAAUGUUAUCACGGGAGACACACGGCGGGUGCUAACGUCCGUCGUGAAGAGGGAAACAACCCAGACCGCCAGCUAAGGUCCCAAAGUCAUGGUUAAGUGGGAAACGAUGUGGGAAGGCCCAGACAGCCAGGAUGUUGGCUUAGAAGCAGCCAUCAUUUAAAGAAAGCGUAAUAGCUCACUGGUCGAGUCGGCCUGCGCGGAAGAUGUAACGGGGCUAAACCAUGCACCGAAGCUGCGGC
RNAcentral lists this ribosomal RNA (1000 nucleotides) under Escherichia coli. Its description in RNAcentral is "partial 23S ribosomal RNA". It matches the Rfam family "Bacterial large subunit ribosomal RNA", at positions 165 to 1206 of the family's 2925-position model. Lineage: Bacteria; Pseudomonadati; Pseudomonadota; Gammaproteobacteria; Enterobacterales; Enterobacteriaceae. The record is from RNAcentral.